GGUAGAGCACUGUUUGGACGAGGGGCCCCUCUCGGGUUACCGAAUUCAGACAAACUCCGAAUGCCAAAUAAUUUAACUUGGGAGUCAGAAUGUGGGUGAUAAGGUCCAUAUUCGAAAGGGAAACAGCCCAGACCACCAGCUAAGGUCCCAAAAUAUAUGUUAAGUGGAAAAGGAUGUGGCGUUGCCCAGACAACUAGGAUGUUGGCUUAGAAGCAGCCAUCAUUUAAAGAGUGCGUAAUAGCUCACUAGUCGAGUGACACUGCGCCGAAAAUGUACCGGGGCUAAACAUAUUACCGAAGCUGUGGAUUGUCCUUUGGACAAUGGUAGGAGAGCGUUCUAAGGGCGUUGAAGCAUGAUCGCAAGGACAUGUGGAGCGCUUAGAAGUGAGAAUGCCGGUGUGAGUAGCGAAAGACGGGUGAGAAUCCCGUCCACCGAUUGACUAAGGUUUCCAGAGGAAGGCUCGUCCGCUCUGGGUUAGUCGGGUCCUAAGCUGAGGCCGACAGGCGUAGGCGAUGGAUAACAGGUUGAUAUUCCUGUACCACCAUUAUUCGUUUUAAGCGAUGGGGGGACGCAGUAGGAUAGGCG
Molecule: ribosomal RNA, 585 nt
Filed under: Staphylococcus pseudintermedius
Lineage: Bacteria; Bacillati; Bacillota; Bacilli; Caryophanales; Staphylococcaceae
Description: partial 23S ribosomal RNA
Rfam family: Bacterial large subunit ribosomal RNA
Source: RNAcentral